AUUGAACGCUGGCGGCAUGCUUUACACAUGCAAGUCGGACGGCAGCACAGAGAAGCUUGCUUCUUGGGUGGCGAGUGGCGAACGGGUGAGUAAUAUAUCGGAACGUACCGAGUAAUGGGGGAUAACUAAUCGAAAGAUUAGCUAAUACCGCAUAUUCUCUGAGGAGGAAAGCAGGGGACCUUCGGGCCUUGCGUUAUUCGAGCGGCCGAUAUCUGAUUAGCUAGUUGGUGGGGUAAAGGCCUACCAAGGCGACGAUCAGUAGCGGGUCUGAGAGGAUGAUACGCCACACUGGGACUGAGACACGGCCCAGACUCCUACGGGAGGCAGCAGUGGGGAAUUUUGGACAAUGGGCGCAAGCCUGAUCCAGCCAUGCCGCGUGUCUGAAGAAGGCCUUCGGGUUGUAAAGGACUUUUGUCAGGGAAGAAAAGGCUGUUGCUAAUACCGACAGCUGAUGACGGUACCUGAAGAAUAAGCACCGGCUAACUACGUG
This 490-nucleotide ribosomal RNA is filed under the name uncultured bacterium. RNAcentral's name for it is "partial 16S ribosomal RNA". It matches the Rfam family "Bacterial small subunit ribosomal RNA", at positions 30 to 507 of the family's 1533-position model. The record is from RNAcentral.